This 372-nucleotide unclassified non-coding RNA is filed under the name uncultured bacterium. Its description in RNAcentral is "contains 16S-23S intergenic spacer region". The record is from RNAcentral.
UCCUCUUUACAGAGGCAGUUCGUUCCGAGUCCCCGGCAUUAUCCGCUGGUAACAGAACAUGAGGGUUGCGCUCGUUGCGGGACUUAACCCAACAUUUCACAACACGAGCUGACGACAGCCAUGCACCACCUGUGCAUCACCCUCGAAGGCGACCACUUUUGGGUAGCUUGCAGAUGCAUGUCAAGCCCUGGUAAGGUUCUUCGCGUUGCAUCGAAUUAAGCCACAUGCUCCACCGCUUGUGCGGGCCCCCGCCAAUUCCUUUGAGUUUCAACCUUGCGGCCGUACUCCCCAGGCGGGGAACUUACUCCGUUAGGUGCGGCACCGGCGGUAACCCGCCGACACUUAGUUCCCAUCGUUUAGGGCGUGGACUAC